RNAcentral lists this ribosomal RNA (464 nucleotides) under Streptococcus parasanguinis. RNAcentral's name for it is "bacterial SSU rRNA". It matches the Rfam family "Bacterial small subunit ribosomal RNA", at positions 28 to 475 of the family's 1533-position model. Lineage: Bacteria; Bacillati; Bacillota; Bacilli; Lactobacillales; Streptococcaceae. The record is from RNAcentral.
GAUGAACGCUGGCGGCGUGCCUAAUACAUGCAAGUAGAACGCUGAAGCUUGGUGCUUGCACCGAGCGGAUGAGUUGCGAACGGGUGAGUAACGCGUAGGUAACCUGCCUCUUAGCGGGGGAUAACUAUUGGAAACGAUAGCUAAUACCGCAUAAAAGUCGACAUUGCAUGAUGUUGACUUGAAAGGUGCAAUUGCAUCACUAAGAGAUGGACCUGCGUUGUAUUAGCUAGUUGGUGAGGUAACGGCUCACCAAGGCGACGAUACAUAGCCGACCUGAGAGGGUGAUCGGCACACUGGGACUGAGACACGGCCCAGACUCCUACGGGAGGCAGCAGUAGGGAAUCUUCGGCAAUGGGGGCAACCCUGACCGAGCAACGCCGCGUGAGUGAAGAAGGUUUUCGGAUCGUAAAGCUCUGUUGUAAGAGAAGAACGAGUGUGAGAGUGGAAAGUUCACACUGUGACGG